UCUGGAUUCCAUCUUCCUCCCUAACCCUCUCCCCCUCCCCCUUUUUGGCUCGCAAUCGGGAGCUCCGUCUUAGCUCUCGAUCGAGCUCGCCCCUUUUCUCUUUUUGUUCUACUUGUUUUAAUGGCGUCUACCCCUUUAAUUUCUUGGAUCAUGUUCUUAAUAUUCCUUUUAUAACAGACGUAUAUCGUUGAAGAAACAAUCACCCACCGUCAUGGAUAGGGCUGUUCAAUUGAAACGCGGGAUUUCCCGUCAAUUCUCAGCCGGUUCAAUGAAACUCGGCGGCAAAUUCAGCUUCAAGCGUCAGAGUUCUAUGGAUCCACGUUCCAAUAAUAUUCGUUUCAGCUUUGGCCGUCAAUCGUCCCUUGACCCAAUUCGACGAACACCCACCAAGGAUGAGUUCACCCUCCCUGGAAACCUUGAUUCCACCAUGCAAUUGCUGUUUCUAGCCUGUAAAGGCGAUGUUCAAGGGGUCAAAGAUCUGCUUGAUGAUGGGAUUGAUGUUAAUAGUAUCGAUCUUGAUGGUCGUACUGCUUUGCAUAUUGCUGCUUGUGAAGGACAUGUUGACGUUGCCCAGCUCCUGUUGAGUCGCAAAGCCAACAUUGAUGCCCGUGAUCGCUGGGGGAGCACGGCAGCUGCUGAUGCUAAGUACUAUGGAAAUGUAGAAACAUACAAUAUUUUGAAGGCCCGUGGAGCCAAAGUUCCGAAAACUAGAAAGACACCUAUGUCCGUUGCAAAUCCUCGAGAAGUUCCCGAGUACGAACUCAAUCCUCUAGAGCUUCAGAUUCGCAAAAGUGAUGGCAUCUCAAAGGGAAACUAUCAAGUUGCUAAAUGGAAUGGGACAAAAGUUUCUGUGAAGAUACUAGACAAGGAUAGCUACUCUGACCCUGAAAGCAUAAACACUUUCAAACAUGAGUUGACCUUAUUGGAGAAGGUGCGGCAUCCUAAUGUGGUUCAAUUUGUUGGAGCUGUCACCCAAAAUAUACCCAUGAUGAUUGUUUCCGAGUUUCAUCAAAGAGGUGACCUUACAACCUAUCUUCAGAAGAAAGGGCGGUUGUCGCCACCCAAAGCUCUUAGAUAUGCUCUUGAUAUUGCCAGGGGAAUGAAUUAUCUUCAUGAAUGCAAACCGGACCCAAUUAUCCACUGUGAUUUAAGGCCAAAAAAUAUUUUGCUGGAUAGUGGGGGACAGUUGAAGGUUGCAGGAUUCGCAGUGAUUAGGUUGUCCAAGAUUUCGCCUAAUAAAGCAAGAUUGGCGCGGCCUGUUACCAUCGAUCGAGCAAAUUUGUAUAUUGCACCCGAGAUUUAUAGAGAUGAUCUGUUUGACAGAAGUGUGGAUGUGUACUCUUUUGGCCUUAUUCUUUACGAGAUGAUGGAGGGUGUCCAACCAUUUCAUCCCAAGGCUCCUGAGGAUGCUGUUAAGCUCAUGUGUGUAGAUGACAAGAGACCACCAUUCAAGAUCAAAGCUAAACAUUAUCCUCCUGAUCUAAAAGAAUUGAUCGAGGAGUGUUGGUAUCCAGAUUCGACCGUAAGGCCAAAGUUUUCUGAGAUUAUCAUACGACUCGACAGUAUUGUCGGAAACUGCUCUAAACAGGGAUGGUGGAAAGAAACGUUUAAGCUCCCAUGAGGUUAAGUCUCCUUUCAUCUUCUCUCCCAAACCCCACCAAAGAGUGGGACAUACUGGGUUCGUUUGGUUUGGUUUGGUUUGGAAAUAAACAUAUGAAUGUCGAACACGGACGGGUUUGGCUGGUGAUCAGAACUCCAGGUUUGGGGACUUUGUACCGAGGUCUUUACAACUACGUUUGGAUAUAUAACAGAUGUCGGAUGACUGCUACCGAGGGGGCGGUAAGCGUAAUCUUUUAGAGUUAUGGAAGCUGCAUGAUAAAGUGGAAUCAUCACAAUACUAAGCUUUUUAUGUUUUCUUGUUUACGUUUAUGAAAAUUGUUCGUAUGUAACUAAUGUUAAUACGGCAUGUGAUAUAAUAGUUUCGAGUAAUUUCGUCUUC
Cynara cardunculus var. scolymus (artichoke) is the source of this 1999-nucleotide RNA transcript. It is a transcript of the gene named integrin-linked protein kinase 1-like, with no coding region annotated. The transcript is spliced from 13 exons. NCBI's taxonomy places the organism in Eukaryota, Viridiplantae, Streptophyta, Magnoliopsida, Asterales, Asteraceae. The record is from RefSeq and is a predicted model, not a curated record.